GCCUGUAGCUCUGAGGAUUAGAGCACGUGGCUACGAACCACGGUGUCGGGGGUUCGAAUCCACUUCUGAGCG
This is a non-coding RNA of Zea mays, 72 nucleotides long. The record is from the annotation of a RefSeq genome assembly. Lineage: Eukaryota; Viridiplantae; Streptophyta; Magnoliopsida; Poales; Poaceae.